Molecule: long non-coding RNA, 299 nt
Filed under: Gallus gallus (chicken)
Lineage: Eukaryota; Metazoa; Chordata; Aves; Galliformes; Phasianidae
Description: lncRNA (ENSGALG00010003679.1)
Source: RNAcentral
GGCUGACUUAUCUGUCCUGUGUGCCAUGGAGACCAGAUGGAGAGCUGCGGACAGCUGUGUGUCCUGCUCUGGUUCCAUCUUGGUGCCGAUGCCCACCUGCAAGGCAGAGAGGGGGGAAGAAAGGAGCAGCCUCCUGCCCGGCUUCCCUGUGCUGCCCUCUCCUGCACAGCACUGCUCACCGUUGUUGGUCUGCCUGCCGUUGCCAUGGCCAUGAGUGGAAAGGGUCACUGCAAUCAGCAGGUCUGAUGCCAGCUCCUGCAGUGGGGCCACGAAGCAGCAGCAAACAUUGGGGUAGGGCA